AACCGCAUGGUUCGAUAGUGAAAGAUGGCCCUGCUAUCACUUAUAGAUGGACCUGCGCCGUAUUAGCUAGUUGGUAAGGUAACGGCUUACCAAGGCAACGAUACGUAGCCGACCUGAGAGGGUGAUCGGCCACACUGGAACUGAGACACGGUCCAGACUCCUACGGGAGGCAGCAGUAGGGAAUCUUCCGCAAUGGGCGAAAGCCUGACGGAGCAACGCCGCGUGAGUGAUGAAGGUCUUCGGAUCGUAAAACUCUGUUAUUAGGGAAGAACAAACGUGUAAGUAACUGUGCACGUCUUGACGGUACCUAAUCAGAAAGCCACGGCUAACUACGUGC
Molecule: ribosomal RNA, 337 nt
Filed under: uncultured Staphylococcus sp.
Lineage: Bacteria; Bacillati; Bacillota; Bacilli; Caryophanales; Staphylococcaceae
Description: bacterial SSU rRNA
Rfam family: Bacterial small subunit ribosomal RNA
Source: RNAcentral